AACUGGUAAUUGUUAAGUGCAAGUGUGUUUUGGUUCAUAUUUUGAAAGAUGAAUGUGAUCCUUGGUUUAUGCUUUGGUUCAAUGUUUCAUGAGUUUAAUUUUCACUAUUUGUAUUCGAAUCCUUGCCUUUGCUUGUUUCUUUUGCUGCAACAAGUUUGGCCUAUCAUGUUCAAACCAGGAUUAGCCAUGGUAGCAAGCUUGGAAAAUGUUAUACUGUGAGGUAUGCAUCCCACUGUGAUGAAGAUGCAAUGUUGCUAUACCUUUAACCUUGCAUGUUGUGUAAGUCAUUUUUCAGUUCAGCAGGUAUAUGGCUAGUCAUGGUUUAAUUUCUCAUUGAAAUGCAAAGUGAAAAAACCAUGUGCUUGAGUUGGCAUGGAUUGGUUGUGUCCUGCUGUACAGGGGAAUACUCACUUGGCCUUUUUUACUCAUGACAACCCUUGUUGGUAUGCAUGUCCAUUGAUGUAUUAUGAUUGUGGAAAUUGCAGCUGGUGUGCAAUCACAGGUGAAGCAGGAGUAGGUCAUGUGAAGCAAGCCAUUGGCUCCACAAUGCAGAUGUCUUAUGGAUGCUAAUGAUGAUGAUGACAUGAUGAAUUUGAUGGUUCCAAUACAGGAUGAUGGCCUGCUGUCCCAAACCCCAGUCUGGCCAAUGUUCCUGCAGUAGGUGAGAUCCUUCUUGGUUUUGCUUUAUGCUGCAUGAUAUUGCAUUUAGUGGCCAGCCUCAAUAGGAUUUUAUACUUGGAUGGUAAAUUGCUAGUAGGACUUGGUGCAUUGAUGCUUCAGCUGCAACUGGCAUUACAUGUUGGUCUGUGAAUUGGUUUGUUUGGUUUUGGUGGUUCUUGACAUGUCAUGACUGCAUUUGGUUGUGUUGGUCUGUUGCUGCAGGAAGUUUCCCAGGUUGCAGCUUCCAUGAGCCAUCACCACCAUAAAUUGCAAGUGUGAGCAUGUUCAACUGGUUAUCAGCUGGUUAUGUGGUUAUGGUGUUGGUACAAGGUUUCAGGCAAGGCAAAGUGCAACAUGGUAUUGAACUGUCUGCUGCAGCAGCAGGGCUAGCAUGUCAUGUAUUUCCAUUGGCUUGGUCACACAUUUCCAUGGUUUGAUGUGUAAGGUUUUAGGUUACAACCAAAGGUGAUGAGCAAAGGACAAUGGUUGGACUGUUAGAGAAUUCCUUGGACAUUGAUCAAGGGCAGACCAAGGCCAAUGGUGAAUGGUUCAAAAAUGCCAAAAUGACAUGGUGCUCAAAUUGCAUUACUUGCAAUGGAAGCAACCAAGAAAAACACCAACAAAAAUGAAGGUUGGAUGACACAUUAAAGCAAAGGGCCAUAUCGAGUUUGGAUAGUCAAGAGCAAGUGAGAGUUGACUUUGGUCAAAGUUGACCAAAAAAUCAACUGUUGACCAAAGUCAACAAAUGGUCAAAAUUUCAUUUUCUUUGUAAAUGGACAAUGAAUUAUUGGUUAGGAUGAAAAUUAGGGUUUUUGGAUUUUGGGUUGACUUUGGUCAAAGUUGACCAAAAAGUCAACUAUUGACCAAAGUCAACAUUUGGUCAAAAAUAUCAAGACUUGUAUUUUCUUAUGUAGAAUCAAAUGUAAUGGUUUAAAAUGACAUGAAAUGGAUUGAAAUGGAUUGAGAACUGAUUGGAAAUUGGUUUUACAAUUGGUUUAUUUAUGACUUGACUGCUUGACUUUGAAAAAAAAGAAAAUGACUUGAUUGACAAUAUAUGUUAACAAGGCCAUGAAAUGAGGUCAUAAGAUUAGGGUUUUGAUGUAAUAUUCAUGAAUCAAUGGCAUUACUAGCAAGUGGCUUGAGACACAAGAAGUUUGGUUGUUUGGAUGACCAAGACCAUAGAUGUAUCCACAAUCACAUGAACAACACCAUGACUUCGGACCAAGACCAAUGCUCAUAUAAGCCCAAAGUAAGGUUUGGUUUUGCUUAAACGGUGGCGCUGUGAGCUGGAAAAGUUUAAAGCAAGAUACAGUUGCUGAUUCGACAACUGAGGCCGAGAAUAUUGCUGCCUCAAGUGCAGCAAAGGAAGUUGUUUGGAUCAAAAAGUUCAUUAGGGAACUUGGCAUAGUUCCUAGCAUUGUGGAUCCCAUUGGUCUCUAUUGUGAUAACAAUGGUGCUAUCGCACAAGCUAAGGAUCCUAGAUCUCACCAAUAAUCUAAACACAUACUUAGGCGUUAUCACCUCAUUCGAGAGAUAAUAGAUAGAGGAGAUGUGAAAA
Long non-coding RNA from Lathyrus oleraceus (garden pea), 2218 nucleotides. RefSeq lists it as uncharacterized. The record is from RefSeq and is a predicted model, not a curated record. The transcript is spliced from 3 exons. NCBI's taxonomy places the organism in Eukaryota, Viridiplantae, Streptophyta, Magnoliopsida, Fabales, Fabaceae.